RNAcentral lists this ribosomal RNA (497 nucleotides) under uncultured bacterium. RNAcentral's name for it is "partial 16S ribosomal RNA". It matches the Rfam family "Bacterial small subunit ribosomal RNA", at positions 28 to 507 of the family's 1533-position model. The record is from RNAcentral.
GAUGAACGCUGGCGGCGUGCCUAAUACAUGCAAGUCGAGCGAACAGACGAGGAGCGUGCUCCUCUGACGUUAGCGGCGGACGGGUGAGUAACACGUGGAUAACCUACCUAUAAGACUGGGAUAACUUCGGGAAACCGGAGCUAAUACCGGAUAAUAUAUUGAACCGCAUGGUUCAAUAGUGAAAGACGGUUUUGCUGUCACUUAUAGAUGGAUCCGCGCCGCAUUAGCUAGUUGGUAAGGUAACGGCUUACCAAGGCAACGAUGCGUAGCCGACCUGAGAGGGUGAUCGGCCACACUGGAACUGAGACACGGUCCAGACUCCUACGGGAGGCAGCAGUAGGGAAUCUUCCGCAAUGGGCGAAAGCCUGACGGAGCAACGCCGCGUGAGUGAUGAAGGUCUUCGGAUCGUAAAACUCUGUUAUUAGGGAAGAACAAAUGUGUAAGUAACUAUGCACGUCUUGACGGUACCUAAUCAGAAAGCCACGGCUAACUACGUG